UCCGCUGUAGCUCAGUGGUAGAGCGCUGCACUUGUAUAAUAUUCUUUAGGAUAUAUAAUUAAGGUGAUGCAGAGGUCCGUUGUUCAAUCCAGCGUAGCGGAA
Molecule: non-coding RNA, 102 nt
Organism: Microdochium trichocladiopsis
Lineage: Eukaryota; Fungi; Ascomycota; Sordariomycetes; Xylariales; Microdochiaceae
Source: the annotation of a RefSeq genome assembly